GGUGAACGCUGGCGGCGUGCUUAAGACAUGCAAGUCGAACGCAGUCUUCGGACUGAGUGGCGCACGGGUGAGUAACACGUAACUGACCUACCCCCAAGUCGCGGAUAACUGGCCGAAAGGUCAGCUAAUACGUGAUGUGAUGUCCCCUUUCUGGGGGGCCAUUAAAGGUUUACUGCUUGGGGAUGGGGUUGCGUUCCAUCAGCUAGUUGGCGGGGUAAAGGCCCACCAAGGCAACGACGGAAAGCCGGCCUGAGAGGGUGGCCGGCCACAGGGGCACUGGGACACGGGUCCCACUCCUACGGGAGGCAGCAGGUAGGAAGCUACCGCGAUGGGCGAAAGCCUGAUGGAGCGACGCCGCGUGAGGGAUGAAGGUUCUCGGAUCGUAAACCUCUGAAUCAGGGACGAAAGACGCGUAAGCGGGAUGACGGUACCUGAGUAAUAGCACCGGCUAACUCCGUGCCAGCCGCCGCAGUAA
Molecule: ribosomal RNA, 475 nt
Filed under: uncultured bacterium
Lineage: Bacteria
Description: partial 16S ribosomal RNA
Rfam family: Bacterial small subunit ribosomal RNA
Source: RNAcentral